GCUAGAUGGUAGGGUAAAGGCCUACCAUGGCGACGAUGGGUAGCCGGCCUGAGAGGGUGAACGGCCACACUGGAACUGAGAGACGGUCCAGACUCCUACGGGAGGCAGCAGCUAAGAAUCUUCCGCAAUGGGCGCAAGCCUGACGGAGCGACGCCGCGUGAACGAUGAAGGCCGCAAGGUUGUAAAGUUCUUUUCGGGAAGGAGAAUAAGGGGAGCAGGCAAUGGCUUUCCGAUGCCGUGAAUCCCGGAAUAAGCCCCGGCUAACUACGUGCCAGCAGCCGCGGUAACACGUAGGGGGCGAGCGUUGUUCGGAAUCAUUGGGCGUAAAGGGCGCGCAGGCGGCGUAUAAAGUCUGGCGUGAAAGUCCCCGGCUCAACCGGGGGAUAGCGUUGGAAACUGGUAUGCUUGAGUACGAGAGGGGAUGGCGGAAUUCCAGGUGUAGGGGUGAAAUCUGUAGAUAUCUGGAGGAACACCGACGGCGAAGGCAGCCAUCUGGUUCAGUACUGACGCUGAGGCGCGAAGGUGCGGGGAGCAAACAGGUUUAGAUACCCUGGUAGUCCGCACAGUAAACGAUGUGCACCAGGUGUCGGGCAACAGCUGUUCGGU
Molecule: ribosomal RNA, 606 nt
Filed under: uncultured bacterium
Lineage: Bacteria
Description: bacterial SSU rRNA
Rfam family: Bacterial small subunit ribosomal RNA
Source: RNAcentral